RNAcentral lists this ribosomal RNA (489 nucleotides) under Triticum aestivum (bread wheat). Its description in RNAcentral is "partial small subunit ribosomal RNA". The record is from RNAcentral. Lineage: Eukaryota; Viridiplantae; Streptophyta; Magnoliopsida; Poales; Poaceae.
AGGUGGUUAACAUUCAAGGCUUGUGCUUUUAGAGGGCAUGAUGAAUCUCCGGGAUCCAUUAACCGGGGUAAUUUCCUACAACUGGUAAAACUUUUGGCUUCUUAUAACAAGGAGGUGAAAGAUGUUGUCUUGGAAAAUGCCCCUGGAAACGCAAAGUACACAUCUCAUCAGCUUCAAGAGGAAAUUCUUGGUAUACUUUCUCGAAAGGUGCAAAGAGCAAUUAGAGAAGAAAUUGGUGAUAGCAAAUUUUGUAUAAUGGUUGACGAAACUCACGAUGAAUCCAAGAAAGAGCAAAUGGCGUUGGUCCUUCUGUUUCCUGACACUAAAGGGUUCAUACAGGAGCGUUUUGUUGAUGCCAUUCAUGUGAAUGACUAUCUUGCAUUUACUCUCAAGGAGACAAUCUGCACUGUUCUAGCAGAUAACAAUUUAAAUGUGGAAGAUAUCAGAGGUCAGGCCUAUGACGAGGUCAGUAAUAAGCGAGGGGAGUGA